This is a non-coding RNA of Bos taurus (domestic cattle), 71 nucleotides long. The record is from Rfam. NCBI's taxonomy places the organism in Eukaryota, Metazoa, Chordata, Mammalia, Artiodactyla, Bovidae.
UCCCUGGUGGCUCAGCAGUAAAGAAUCUGUCUGUAAUGCAGCAGACCCAGGUUCGAUCCCUGGGUGGGGAA